Molecule: ribosomal RNA, 482 nt
Filed under: uncultured bacterium
Lineage: Bacteria
Description: bacterial SSU rRNA
Rfam family: Bacterial small subunit ribosomal RNA
Source: RNAcentral
CAAGUCGAACGCGAAAGGGACUUCGGUCCUGAGUAAAGUGGCGGCACGGGUGAGUAACGCGUAGAUAACCUGUCUUCAUGUCUGGAAUAAUACGCCGAAAGGGGUACUAAUACCGGAUAUUCCUGCUUUUCAUAAGUUAUGCAAGCAAAGGUGGCCUCUGCAUAUGCUACUGCAUGAAGAGGGGUCUGCGUACCAUUAGCUAGUAGGUGGGGUAAUGGCCUACCUAGGCGACGAUGGUUAGCGGGUCUGAGAGGAUGAUCCGCCACACUGGCACUGGAACACGGGCCAGACUCCUACGGGAGGCAGCAGUGAGGAAUAUUGCGCAAUGGGGGAAACCCUGACGCAGCGACGCCGCGUGAGUGAAGGAAGGCCUUCGGGUCGUAAAGCUCUGUCAAGAGGAAAGAAGUGUACAAUGGCUAAUACCUGUUGUAUUUGACGGUACCUCUAAAGGAAGCACCGGCUAACUCCGUGCCAGCAGCGGC